RNAcentral lists this ribosomal RNA (767 nucleotides) under uncultured Granulicatella sp. RNAcentral describes it as "bacterial SSU rRNA". It matches the Rfam family "Bacterial small subunit ribosomal RNA", at positions 28 to 776 of the family's 1533-position model. Lineage: Bacteria; Bacillati; Bacillota; Bacilli; Lactobacillales; Carnobacteriaceae. The record is from RNAcentral.
GACGAACGCUGGCGGCGUGCCUAAUACAUGCAAGUCGAACGAGAGCGACCGGUGCUUGCACUGGUCAAUCUAGUGGCGAACGGGUGAGUAACACGUGGGUAACCUGCCCAUCAGAGGGGGAUAACAUUCGGAAACGGAUGCUAAAACCGCAUAGGUCCUUUAACCGCAUGGUUGAAGGAGGAAAAGAGGCGCAAGCUUCUGCUGAUGGAUGGACCCGCGGUGCAUUAGCUAGUUGGUGAGGUAACGGCUCACCAAGGCCGUGAUGCAUAGCCGACCUGAAAGGGUGAUCGGCCACAUUGGGACUGAGACACGGCCCAAACUCCUACGGGAGGCAGCAGUAGGGAAUCUUCCGCAAUGGACGCAAGUCUGACGGAGCAACGCCGCGUGAGUGAAGAAGGUUUUCGGAUCGUAAAACUCUGUUGUUAGAGAAGAACAAGUGCUAGAGUAACUGUUAGCGCCUUGACGGUAUCUAACCAGAAAGCCACGGCUAACUACGUGCCAGCAGCCGCGGUAAUACGUAGGUGGCAAGCGUUGUCCGGAUUUAUUGGGCGUAAAGCGAGCGCAGGCGGUUCCUUAAGUCUGAUGUGAAAGCCCCCGGCUCAACCGGGGAGGGUCAUUGGAAACUGGGGAACUUGAGUGCAGAAGAGGAGAGUGGAAUUCCAUGUGUAGCGGUGAAAUGCGUAGAUAUAUGGAGGAACACCAGUGGCGAAGGCGACUCUCUGGUCUGUAACUGACGCUGAGGCUCGAAAGCGUGGGUAGCAAACAGG